Non-coding RNA from Araneus ventricosus, 113 nucleotides. The record is from the annotation of a GenBank genome assembly. Lineage: Eukaryota; Metazoa; Arthropoda; Arachnida; Araneae; Araneidae.
CUAUACCAUUCUGAAAGCACCAGUUCUCGUCUCGUUUGAUCACCGUAGUUAAGCAUCACUGAGCGAUAUCAGUACUUGGGAGGGCGACCACAAGGCAACACAGAGUGCUGUUG